Molecule: long non-coding RNA, 1327 nt
Organism: Eriocheir sinensis (Chinese mitten crab)
Lineage: Eukaryota; Metazoa; Arthropoda; Malacostraca; Decapoda; Varunidae
Exons: 9
Source: RefSeq, a predicted model, not a curated record
UCCAGAUAUUUUGUUUUUUAUUUAUUGAUGAUCCACGAGACAUCCUAGAGUUAAAUCAAAGUAUGUGUUUAUCUUUGUAUUCAUUCCUACACACUCUGGUAAUAUCUCUGUGGGGUCUGAUUCACUUAUUAGAGUGAAAUUCUAUUGUGAAAAACAGCCACAAAUUCGUGUCACUGGUGAAAAUGAAACUGAUAAUUUAAAUUUUGCCACCAUGAAAUAUAUACAAAUAGAUAAAUUUGAGUGACUUCACCUGCUUUGCACAGUAAAAAUAUGCUAUUUCAGGCAUCUGACACCCUCAAAAAGGCGUGCGCACUCCUCUGGCCUAGGAGCUUCAGCCUGGACAUUGUGGUUAGGUCAUUACAUACUCAAAUCAGGACUAGGUUUUGGGAGACAGGUCAGGUCAUUUUGUAGACUUGUGAUACUGGGCUAGACUGCACUGGGUACACCACACGCUGGAGUUGCACCCAGUUUAUAAUGAUAUCAUUUUGGAGCAGUGAGUGAUGGGCUUUUUUUUUACUGUAAAAAUAAAAAGUAUGUUGAUGUUUACACAGUUAAUUGACACCAAACUUGAUUUGCAGACACUACCAAACGAAGAAGAGGAGGAGGAGGAGGACUGGGAAGAAGACGAGGAACACAGGAGGAACCCAUUGAGAGAACAAGAAGAAGAAGAAGAAGAAGAAGAGGAGGACACAGGAAUUCCUUGGUUGGUGUAGCAGUGCCGGGAGGUGCCAUAACACAGGGCACUCCUCACCUCAACAACAGUCUCUUCACCGACAAGUAAUUCUUCACCAACAAGCUUUUCAGCAGCUUGGAGAAAUAGACACUACCAAACAAAGAAGAGGAGGAGGAGGAGGAGGAAGAAGAAGACGAGGAACACAGGAGGAACCCAUUGAGACAAGAAGAAGAAGAAGAGGAAGAAGAGGAAGACUGACAGACAGACAUUCCAUUGAGACAAGAAGAAGAAGAAGAGGAAGAAGAGGAAGAGGAAGACUGACAGACAGACAUUCCAUUGAGACUAGAAGAAGAAGAAGAGGAAGAAGAGGAAGAGGAAGACUGACAGACAGACAUUCCAUUGAGACAAGAAGAAGAAGAAGAGGAAGAAGAGGAAGAGGAAGACUGACAGACAGACAUUCCAUUGAGUGUGUGGUGUCCCGCAGGCAGGCAGACCGAGACGCCAGCCAUUCAAUUCUGCCGAGGGAAGGAAGUCGUGUUAGUCAACUCUGAUGACUUGUACUUUUCUCUGCAAGGGACUGUUCUGUAAGCCAGUCACAGAAGAUGUGAACUGUAUCUGUACUAUGAAGUCUUAUAAAUAAAGUUAAAGGCUACA